UACAGAGGGGGCAAGCGUUAUUCGGAAUUAUUGGGCGUAAAGCGCGCGCAGGCGGUUCUUUAAGUCUGAUGUGAAAGCCCACGGCUCAACCGUGGAGGGUCAUUGGAAACUGGAGAACUUGAGUACAGAAGAGGAAAGCGGAAUUCCACGUGUAGCGGUGAAAUGCGUAGAGAUGUGGAGGAACACCAGUGGCGAAGGCGGCUUUCUGGUCUGUAACUGACGCUGAGGCGCGAAAGCGUGGGGAGCAAACAGG
RNAcentral lists this ribosomal RNA (253 nucleotides) under uncultured bacterium. Its description in RNAcentral is "partial 16S ribosomal RNA". It matches the Rfam family "Bacterial small subunit ribosomal RNA", at positions 524 to 776 of the family's 1533-position model. The record is from RNAcentral.